GGCCUUAUGACCAGUAUUCAAUUAUGUUUGUUAAUAACAAUAAAAACCACUAAAAAACUCAUUAGGUAUAAAACAAAUUCAACAAUAUCUUUCUAAGAAAGACAGAAAAAUCUGUCUUUUCGAACAAUCUUUCUAUUAAAGUAAUUUAUUUAAAUUUUACCGAAUACUACAUUACAUUACAUUACAUUACAUUACAUUACAUUACAUUUAUAUAUUUUUAUAUUGUUAUUAAUAUUUAAUUACUACAUAAUAGCAUAUAUUUAUAUCAUAUUAUAUUAUUUUUAUUAACUCUUGAGUCAAUAUUAACUUACCGAAGAACACUGUGAGGUGAAUGUCCAAUGUUAUAAAAAUGUUCAAAAAAACGUCAAAGUUUAUAAAAUAAUACUGAGACAAUGUAUAUUUGAUCAUUUUAAUAAGUAAAUUGGCUACUCAUGAACUUUG
This is a long non-coding RNA of Myzus persicae (green peach aphid), 441 nucleotides long. RefSeq lists it as uncharacterized. NCBI's taxonomy places the organism in Eukaryota, Metazoa, Arthropoda, Insecta, Hemiptera, Aphididae. The transcript is spliced from 2 exons. The record is from RefSeq and is a predicted model, not a curated record.